GCCGCCGUAGCUCAGAUAGGAUCUCUCCCUGAAUCGGUAGAGCAUCCGGCUGUUAACCGGAUGGUCGCCAGUUCAAGUCUGGCCGGCGGCGCCA
Molecule: transfer RNA, 94 nt
Filed under: Nitrososphaerota archaeon
Lineage: Archaea; Thermoproteati; Nitrososphaerota
Description: Thaumarchaeota archaeon tRNA-Asn
Rfam family: tRNA
About the family: Transfer RNA (tRNA) molecules are approximately 80 nucleotides in length. Their secondary structure includes four short double-helical elements and three loops (D, anti-codon, and T loops).
Source: RNAcentral